Molecule: ribosomal RNA, 777 nt
Filed under: uncultured Neocallimastigales
Lineage: Eukaryota; Fungi; Neocallimastigomycota; Neocallimastigomycetes; Neocallimastigales
Description: partial large subunit ribosomal RNA
Rfam family: Eukaryotic large subunit ribosomal RNA
Source: RNAcentral
UAUGUGAUCGUCUCUCGCAUAUCAAUAAGCGGAGGAAAAGAAACUAACAAGGAUUCCCCUAGUAACGGCGAGUGAAGCGGGAAGAGCUCAAAUUUGAAAUCUUAAAGGGUUUCCCUUUACGAAUUGUAGUUUAAAGAAGUGUUUUCUGUUGAGGUUUUUUUGGUAAAAGUUCUUUGGAAUAGGACAUCAUAGAGGGUGAGAAUCCCGUAUUUGACCUUUACUUUCAACUUUGUGAUACACUUUCAAAGAGUCGGAUUGUUUGGGAAUGCAGUCCAAAAUGGGUGGUAAAUUUCAUCUAAAGCUAAAUAUUGGCGAGAGACCGAUAGCGAACAAGUACCGUGAGGGAAAGAUGAAAAGAACUUUGAAAAGAGAGUUAAACAGUACGUGAAAUUGUCAAAAGGGAAGCGUUUGACACCAGUGUUGUUUUUCUGAAAAUCAAUUAAAGAACUGUUUAUGCUAAGUUGUUUAGACUUUAUCAGCUAACUGUUUAGUUUUGAGCUUUUCUUUAAUGCACUUUUCAGUUAACAAGUCAACAUCAAUUUCUUUUGCUGUAAAAAAGCUUGAGGAAGGUGGCUUGAGAUUCGUCUUAAGUGUUUAUAGCCUCUUGCCUAUGCAGUCGGAGAGAUUGAGGUCUGCAGCGUAGAUCCUUCGGGGCUAAAUGCAUUUGUGCUAAGUUAUAGCAUUUUAUAGACAACUUGUUGACUAUGAUUUGUCUUGUAGCUUACUCGCUUAUGUUAUUUUACCUACGCUUAGGAUGUUGAGUAGCGACAUACGCAC